UACAGAGGUCUCAAGCGUUGUUCGGAUUCAUUGGGCGUAAAGGGUGCGUAGGCGGCGCGGUAAGUCGGGUGUGAAAUCCCUCGGCUUAACCGGGGAACUGCAUCUGAUACUGGAUGGCUUGAGUUCGGGAGAGGGAUGCGGAAUUCCAGGUGUAGCGGUGAAAUGCGUAGAUAUCUGGAGGAACACCGGUGGCGAAGGCGGCAUCCUGGACCGACACUGACGCUGAGGAGCGAAAGCCAGGGGAGCAAACGGG
This 253-nucleotide ribosomal RNA is filed under the name uncultured bacterium. RNAcentral describes it as "partial 16S ribosomal RNA". It matches the Rfam family "Bacterial small subunit ribosomal RNA", at positions 524 to 776 of the family's 1533-position model. The record is from RNAcentral.